UGGGGAGUAGUACAGAGGCCCAGUAUCCCGGAUUCUGACUCCGGGGACCCAGGUUCGAAUCCUGGCACCCCAA
This 73-nucleotide transfer RNA is filed under the name Bacteroidales bacterium. RNAcentral's name for it is "tRNA-Gln". It matches the Rfam family "tRNA". From Rfam's summary of the family: Transfer RNA (tRNA) molecules are approximately 80 nucleotides in length. Lineage: Bacteria; Pseudomonadati; Bacteroidota; Bacteroidia; Bacteroidales. The record is from RNAcentral.